GUCACAGUAGAAAGCCUUCAUAAACGAGACGCUUAGAAUGUUUCACUCACUGUCACUGUUCGCAUCGGAGACGCUCUCUCGACGUCGUGUACCUACGGAUCACUUUCACAGAUUUGCACAACGAGGGCUUUAGGCGAGUGGAAAGUGCGAAAUAUCUACAAUAACAAGACAAGCAGGCAUGAGACAACAACAGAUGCCAGAAGAGUCACCAACUAGUAAGAUUUGACAAAUAAGUUGUCAGAUAAGUUAUAGUUAAAGGUACACUAUGUAACUUUUUUGUUCAAAAUGUGCAGAAUUUAUAUAAUGAGCGAGUCCGUCAUGAAUCCAUCUUCCAAAACCAUGUUUUUGUCUAAAUCUGAAUCACUGCGAUACGCCUAUAAUAAGAUGGGCUAUGCACAGACAUUUUGAGGGGCAGGUGCUUAAGUGAGAAAAAAUGCCACCCCUCUUAUAAUUACUUAAUUACUUUAAAAACAUUUUAAACAGUUUUUACAUAUUGUAGUUGUUACAUACUGUGGAACACUUUUAAAUUGCUUUAAUACAUAUUUCUUUAGUUAAAUAUAAUAAUCCUUUGUUGGCAUUAUGCUGGAAUUGGUAAAUGAGUGAAAUCAAUGUGCAUUAGUGACAGAAAUUAUUAUUUAUUAUUAUUACUAUUAUUAUACUAUUGUUAUUUAGAUACACUGCAAUUACAGUUGCAAGAAUAAUGUUAAGAAAUUAGUGUUUUAAAUGUAAAAAGUUGUUACAUAGUGUACCUUUACUUUUGAAAAACACAUUUAAAUAAUGUAAACACAAACAAAUAAUUUGAACAAGUUAGCUGCAUUUACAUGGACCCGAAUAAUCAGUUUGUAACAGGACUAGAAUAACCACAUAAAUCGGAAUGAAUUAGCGAAAUCCAAUUUAAUUUCAUCCAAAUUGUAAGAGAAAAUUUUUCUAAUCCAUCCGAUAGGACACACUUGAUCAGAUUGAAAAACGAAACUGGAAAGUUCUGCACGUGCAAUGGUGUUAUGACGUAUGAUGCAUAGAACAUGCUGUAGUUGUUGAAUAUAAUGCCAUUAAUGACUGUUGUGUCAAUCUAAAAUUCUCCUUCCACUCAUUGUCUGUAAAGUGGUGGAGGAUAACGUCCCACCAGUCCUUUGCUUCGGACUCUCAUUCACAGUUGGUGCCUUGUUUUGGACACAGGAAGGGGACAUAAACUGCUUGAUGAAAAUAAGCAGCAUGGCACAAAGCUUAAUGUACUCGUUGCCUCCUAAUUAGGAGCCGAAAUAGAUAAAUAUUAAGUCUGCUUUUUAAAAGAAAGAAAAGAAGCAAUGAUAGAAAGAAGAUUAGUAUUUGCCAACAGGGGGAACUCUGUUUAAUCAUGCGGUGUGUGCACGUCAAAAGAUCAAUUCUGAUUUAAAUGUGAACACCAACCCGAUCACUUUAUUUAGCGAUCAUGUAAAUACUUCGGUUCGGAUUCAUCAACUGGAAUUAUUUAAUUACAAUUGAAACAAAAGUUGUCAGUGUAAAUGCAGCUAUUGACCAAAAUGACAAACACAUUGCAUUCUGCGCAUUACACACCUUGGCCAGUUGGAUAUUAUCAACUUCACAAUGAAGUUAUCAGUUCACCCCAAGUCACUUGAAGUUAGGACUUGGGUGGGUCCUGUAAGGCCGUGGUGGGUGGGACACAGGCCACACCGUGGGUUGCCAAAAAAAAAAAAACGCAGACAAACUAAAAAAAAAAAAGUAACUGAAAUCAAUCUGAAGUAGUUAAAUUCAUAGUGAAACACAGUCAAAAACAUUUCUGAAUGACGUAGCAAAACUAAUGCCCAGAUAUAAUUAUUUUAAAAUACGAAAUCUGUGAUGAAUUGGCCUUUUUGUCGUAUUGGUUCCUAGCUCUAGUGCAGCACUCUGGGCGGGACUGACCAGAUACGUGCCGAAAGCGCAGUGUGUUGUAGACUGCAUCCAGAAAACCCUUAACCGCCUUUUAAGGGCCUGGCACAGAUAUCAGUUCACCCCAAGUCAUCACUUGGAGAUAGGACUAGGGUGUGUCCUGUAAGGCCGUGGUGGGUGGGACACAGGCCACACCCUGGGUUGCCAAAAAAACCAAAAACAACGUCGAACGUUAAAAAAAAAGGAAA
Long non-coding RNA from Megalobrama amblycephala (Wuchang bream), 2114 nucleotides. RefSeq lists it as uncharacterized. NCBI's taxonomy places the organism in Eukaryota, Metazoa, Chordata, Actinopteri, Cypriniformes, Xenocyprididae. The record is from RefSeq and is a predicted model, not a curated record. The transcript has 2 exons.